GAUGAACGCUGGCGGCGUGCCUAAUACAUGCAAGUCGAGCGGUAACACUUCGGGUGACGAGCGGCGGACGGCUGAGUAACGCGUAGGAACGUACCCCAAACUGAGGGAUAAGCACCAGAAAUGGUGUCUAAUACCGCAUAUGGUCUUCGGAUUAAAGCUUCGGCGGUUUGGGAACGGCCUGCGUAUGAUUAGCUUGUUGGUGAGGUAAAAGCUCACCAAGGCGACGAUCAUUAGCUGGUCUGAGAGGAUGAUCAGCCAGACUGGGACUGAGACACGGCCCAGACUCCUACGGGAGGCAGCAGUAGGGAAUCUUCCACAAUGGGCGAAAGCCUGAUGGAGCAACGCCGCGUGCAGGAUGAAAGCCUUCGGGUCGUAAACUGCUUUUAUAUGCGAUGACUUCGACGGUAGCAUAUGAAUAAGGAUCGGCUAACUCCGUGCCAGCAGCCGCGGUCAUACGGAGGGUCCGAAGCGUUAUCCGGAAUUACU
This 486-nucleotide ribosomal RNA is filed under the name uncultured bacterium. Its description in RNAcentral is "bacterial SSU rRNA". It matches the Rfam family "Bacterial small subunit ribosomal RNA", at positions 28 to 555 of the family's 1533-position model. The record is from RNAcentral.